AUUGAACGCUGGCGGCAGGCCUAACACAUGCAAGUCGAGCGAGCGGCGGACGGGUGAGUAAUGCAUGGGGAUCUGGCUGAUAGAGGGGGAUAACUACGGUAAACCGUGGCUAAUGCUGCUUACUAUCGGAUGAGCUCAAGUGGGAUUAGCUAGUAGGUGAGGUAAAGGCUCACCAAGGCGACGAUUUAUAGCUGGUCUGAGAGGAUGAUCAGCCACACUGGGACUGAGACACGGCCCAGACUCCUACGGGAGGCAGCAGUGGGGAAUAUUGCGCAAUGGUCGCAAGCUGACGCAGCCAUGCCGCGUGAAUGAAGAAGGCCUUCGGGUUGUAAAGUUCUUUCGGCAGAGAGGCGUUACCCACAGAAGAAGCACCGGCUAACUCCGUGCCAGCAGCCGCGGUAAUAC
This 405-nucleotide ribosomal RNA is filed under the name uncultured bacterium. RNAcentral describes it as "partial 16S ribosomal RNA". It matches the Rfam family "Bacterial small subunit ribosomal RNA", at positions 30 to 526 of the family's 1533-position model. The record is from RNAcentral.